CCGGGGCGGGGCCGCAUGCGCGUGCGGCCGUUCAGCUCGUAGCCGAGCUUGCGCGAGACGCCCAGCGACCUGUCGUUCCACUCGGCCGCGCUGGAC
This 96-nucleotide transfer RNA is filed under the name Microbacterium thalassium. RNAcentral describes it as "tRNA-Thr". The record is from RNAcentral. Lineage: Bacteria; Bacillati; Actinomycetota; Actinomycetes; Micrococcales; Microbacteriaceae.